AACGAACGCUGGCGGCAUGCCUAACACAUGCAAGUCGAACGAGACCUUCGGGUCUAGUGGCGCACGGGUGCGUAACGCCUGGUAACCUGCCCUUAGGUUCGGAAUAACUCCCCGAAAGGGGUGCUAAUACCGGAUAAUGUCUUCGGACCAAAGAUUUAUCGCCUUUGGAUGGGCCCGCGUUGGAUUAGCUGGUUGGUAGGGUAAAAGCCUACCAAGGCGACGAUCCAUAGCUGGUCUGAGAGGAUGGUCAGCCACACUGGGACUGAGACACGGCCCAGACUCGUACGGGAGGCGGCAGGGGGGAAUAUUGAACAAUGGGCGAAGGCCGGAUCCAGCAAUGCCGCGUGAGAGAUGAAGGCCUUAGGGUAGUAAAGCCCUUUUACCCGGGAUGAUAAGGACAGUACGGGGAGAAUAAGCUACGGCUAACUCCGUG
Molecule: ribosomal RNA, 433 nt
Filed under: uncultured bacterium
Lineage: Bacteria
Description: partial 16S ribosomal RNA
Rfam family: Bacterial small subunit ribosomal RNA
Source: RNAcentral